Molecule: ribosomal RNA, 1480 nt
Filed under: Triticum aestivum (bread wheat)
Lineage: Eukaryota; Viridiplantae; Streptophyta; Magnoliopsida; Poales; Poaceae
Description: partial small subunit ribosomal RNA
Source: RNAcentral
CAAGCGGAUCAUUGACAUUGAAAGGAAAGAACUCAUACGGAGCGGGGCGAGGGUGUAAGGACGCCGCGCGGCGAGGCCGCGGGCACCGGUGGUGUCGGCGGCUGGUCGAGGAGGGAGGCUGCACGUCGGGGAGGGGCUGGAGCGGAGCGAAGGGACGCCCCAAGGGGAACGGCGACAAGCGCGUCAGUCUAGACCACCGAAGGGAAAAGGGUGUCGACCGCCCCUAGAGGUGCCUAGACGUGCAGACUCAGCGGCGAGGCGGUAGGCGCCGGGCGCGCCGGCAGGGAUUACACGGAUGUGACAGGGGGUUCCAGGCGAAAGGGCGGAUACUACGAGACGACCUUCCGUGAGGAGGUGGGGGGUAGGUACCACGCGUAGCCGGUACGGAGUUUAGCCGCCCCAAAAACUGAAAAACGGUGGUCAAUGAAACGUGAAACUAUUAAACGGUGAGGAAUGUAGUAUUAACUAGAUAACGGUGAGAAAUGUAACCUGAAACUAAAAAACGGGAGACAGUCUACCCAGGGCGUAUAUUACUGGUUUUACGGGUACGAGGGUCUAACUGGUCCUUGCUGAGUAGGGGAAGGAGAGCGGCCGUCGUUGCGGUCCUCUGGCGCCGCCGAUGAGCUGCCGCUCAGCGCGAGCCAUCAGGAGCUGCCGGCUACCGGUACCAAAAGGCGCCCCUGAUGUAGGGCCGCUCAGACUGGCCGCUCGGCCGGUGGCGCAACGGCGACGUCGAGGAGACUGGUGCUGACUUCCCUGUGCAGCAUGUGGUGCCGCGCCUGCCCUACCCUGCUGGGAAGGGAAGCGGCGGAGGCUGUCGUCGUCGAGCAGGUACCACGCCUAACGUCUUCGGCUGCGGCACGAGCUGAGGCAGUCAGGCAGGUGGACGAACACGUCCAGCAGGGCGCAUCAGGAGCUCGGCGUACCGGAGGCGGAGGCACGUGCAUAGGUCGUCGUUGCCGGCGGCCGGAACAUGCCGACGAGGAGGAGAUGCGCUGCAGUUUGACGUGGUACCUAAUUGUCCCGUACGUCGGUGUCUCGGACGUUGAAAGACAAGAAAAGAAAAACAUUACAAGAAUCUCGGGCGUAGAAUUAGGUAGAGAAGAAACGUACCUACCUACGUAUUCAUACUCGUUGUACCUCACUAAGAUUCAAGUCUUGUAGUUAAACCUGUUAUCAAUUAAUCAUUAAGGAAUGUAACAAGGGAGCGACGACGAGGAAAACGAAAACGACGAACGGCGAAAACGAGGAGAGACGUCGUCUUGGGGCCGCCGGUGCGAUCACACAUGGAGAUAUUGUAAGAGAGUACACGCUCGGUCGAGCGAGACUCGUCGCUCCUCCCCCGGUGGAGAAGUCGUUGGACCUCUGCGCGGCCAGAAGAACCACCGUGUCCAAACCGACAGGAGGCACAGUCCCGCCGCCCUCGUCGUGCUCGUCGUUCCCUCCGUCCCUAGUCGUGUCGACACGGUGGCUGCGGUCG